This 955-nucleotide long non-coding RNA is filed under the name Marmota monax (woodchuck). Lineage: Eukaryota; Metazoa; Chordata; Mammalia; Rodentia; Sciuridae. The record is from RNAcentral.
CACCUGUCCCACUCAGUCACUGGAUGCUGGAUGUUCUGGGAAGAAUGUGAAGAUGCAGAUCCCUCCAGCUGAGAGUCAAAUCCUGAAGGAGCUCAUAGCCACAGGUUACCUGCUGAUCACACACCUCAUAGCUGGGCAGCAAGUGCAUCUUUGCAGAAGGAUCCAGGUAGCACAUCUCUAUUUACCAAGACUGAUGACAGCUACUGAUAUUUGAACAGGGAUUGACAAUGGAUGAUACCUUCCUAACUCAGCGCAGGUGCAGCCUGGUCACGGUGAUUUGCAGUAGAUUCCACUGCUGUGCAAAACAUUUGCUGCUCUUCCCCAUGGAAGUUCACGGUGACAUUGACAGUGGACUUGGAUAUGUGACUUACUUUGGACAGUGAGAUAUGAAUGAACAUGAUCUGUUCCACUUUGGGCAGAAUCUUUAAGAGCCAUUGCAUGUGUGGACACCUUCUCUUUUUCCCCCCUCUAAGAGUCCAGAGUGUCCCACAGAAGGGCUGUUCCUUCUGCACCGGUUCCCAAGUGAAGGUGCAUGGAGCAGGGCUGUGUGAGCUCCACUAGUGGCCUAUGCAUGUGUGUUGUGGGUUGGUGUCCAUGUCACUAACGCCUUUGAGGAUAUUUGUUACUUCUGCAUAACUUAGCCUAGACUGACUGAAAUACCCCCAUCACCUACAAGGCAUACAGCUCAAAUGCCUCAGGCAGCUCUACCCAACUUGACCCCUACUCAUCUUUCCAGUCCCAUCUCUCACCAUGCCUCACCUCCAUGCUUCACUCCAUUCACAUCAAACUCAUUUCUCUUCUUGAAUAAACCCUAAUCCACUGGUUCUCAGUGGGGACAAUUUUGCCCUAGCACCCGGGGAACAUUUAGUAAUGCAAGGACACAUUUUUGGUUGUCACACAGGAGGGACACACUACUGAAGCUAGUGAGUGGAGGUCAGAGAUGCUGCUAAACAUG